RNAcentral lists this long non-coding RNA (268 nucleotides) under Pogona vitticeps (central bearded dragon). Its description in RNAcentral is "lncRNA (ENSPVIG00000015384.1)". Lineage: Eukaryota; Metazoa; Chordata; Lepidosauria; Squamata; Agamidae. The record is from RNAcentral.
GCAGGAUCAAAACAAAACUGUGGGGAAGCAAACAAGCUCCUUCUAGUGCCAGGAUCCUGAAUUCCAGUUCACUUUUUCAGACAUGUUCAUCCAUCAAACUGGAGAAGCCUUCCCCUCAGUUAUCUCCUUAGAAUCUGCCCUCCGUUCGAAGUCCAGGAGAGAAAUCAAAUGCAAGUUUUCAGGUGGCACACACAUCCAAGGCACAGCUCACACGAAUGCUAAGGAAAUGAACAAAAACCUUCGUGGUGCAGGAGGGAAAGGCACUUGA